AGUCGAGGGAGAAUUGCUUUCGGGCAGCAGGAACCGGCGAACGGGUGCGUAACACGUAUGCAACCUACCUAUAACUGGGGGAUAGCCCGAAGAAAUUCGGAUUAAUACCCUAUAAUAUUUACUACUCGCAUGAGUUGGUAUCUUAAAACUCCGGUGGUUAUAGAUGGGCAUGCGGCCUAUUAGUUUGUUGGUGAGGUAACGGCUCACCAAGACUACGAUAGGUAGGGGUUCUGAGAGGAUGAUCCCCCACACUGGUACUGAGACACGGACCAGACUCCUACGGGAGGCAGCAGUAGGGAAUAUUGGUCAAUGGACGCAAGUCUGAACCAGCCAUGCCGCGUGCAGGAAGACGGCCCUAUGGGUUGUAAACUGCUUUUAUAUAGGAAGAAACCUUUCCACGUGUGGAAAGCUGACGGUACUAUUUGAAUAAGGACCGGCUAACUCCGUGCCAGCAGCCGCGGUAAUACGGAGGGUCCAAGCGUUGUCCGGAUUUAUUGGGUUUAAAGGGUACGUAGGCGGGAUUUUAAGUCAGUGGUGAAAGCCUCCAGCUCAACUGGAGAAACUGCCCUUGAAACUGAAAUUCUUGAAUAUGGAUGAGGUGGUUGGAAUAUAACAUGUAGCGGUGAAAUGCUUAGAUAUGUUAUAGAACACCAAUUGCGAAGGCAGAUCACCUAACCAUUAUUGACCCUGAGGUACCAAAGCCGGGGGAGCGAAAAGGAUUAAAUACCCUGGUAGCUCCCCCCCUAAACAAGGUCACUCGCUGUUGGCGAUAUACUGGUCGCGGCCCAACGAAAACAU
This 798-nucleotide ribosomal RNA is filed under the name uncultured Bacteroidota bacterium. RNAcentral's name for it is "bacterial SSU rRNA". It matches the Rfam family "Bacterial small subunit ribosomal RNA", at positions 60 to 860 of the family's 1533-position model. Lineage: Bacteria; Pseudomonadati; Bacteroidota. The record is from RNAcentral.